CCCUUAGAUGUUCUGGGCCGCACGCGCGCUACACUGACGAAUGCAACGAGCUUAUAACCUUGGCCGAAAGGUCUGGGUAAUCUCCAAAUUUCGUCGUGAUGGGGAUAGAUUAUUGCAAUUAUUAAUCUUCAACGAGGAAUGCCUAGUAAGCGCAAGUCAUCAGCUUGCGUUGAUUACGUCCCUGCCCUUUGUACACACCGCCCGUCGCUCCUACCGAUUGAAUGGUCCGGUGAAGCGCUCGGACCGCGGCCUCUUGACGGUUCGCUGUCGAUUGGCCGUGGGAAGUUCGUUAAACCUUAUCAUUUAGAGGAAGGAGAAGUCGUANCA
Molecule: ribosomal RNA, 327 nt
Filed under: uncultured eukaryote
Lineage: Eukaryota
Description: partial 18S ribosomal RNA
Rfam family: Eukaryotic small subunit ribosomal RNA
Source: RNAcentral